RNAcentral lists this long non-coding RNA (2409 nucleotides) under Rattus norvegicus (Norway rat). RNAcentral describes it as "long non-coding RNA NONRATT017960". Lineage: Eukaryota; Metazoa; Chordata; Mammalia; Rodentia; Muridae. The record is from RNAcentral.
AUACCUUCUGAUGCUUGGUCUGUUUGUUGGUCUUGUGUUCAGUGCUUACUUCUUGCCAGUUGUAUACACGUGGAGAGGGCAUUUGUAUGCCUGAAAUCUUGUUCUUGAGGUCAGAAUUCAAAAUGUUGGGAGCUUUCGUUCUGGAGAAAAGGUCAGAUCAGAGUGAGUACUGUAAAGGUUAAACUAUGAAUCUAUAUAGCAAAUGGAAAAUUCUUUUAAAAUGUAAACUGGUAGACCACAUUUCCUUCCUCAGCCUAAAAUAUUGGUCAUUUUCCAACAGAACAAACUUCAUGUUUAAAGAGAGAGAGAGGAGGACUGGUCCUUCAACCACUGUGUAGUAGACAAGUUUAACAACCUCAGUACUGGGAGUUAGCCAGCUUUGAACCAGUGGCCAGUGUCUUGAGCUAGGGUUUCUUAGGCCUUUAGAAACCAGCAUAUUAGUUAGGGGUUGUUGUGCUCAUUGGUGCAUUUUUGAGACAAGACAGCUCGGCACAGGGCAUUACUGUGACAAGUUCAUUUACCUGUACUGGUGUAUGACUUAGUUUUCUGGCUGAAUUUCUUUCCCUUCUCCAAACGGAAGAACAGUUUUUUGAACUGCCAUCCAUGUUUCCAAUGUUUUGUGAGGUUGGUGUAACUGGCGAAUUGUAGACAUGCUUAUGUACCAAAGGGAGGGUUUGUGUGGCUUGUUGGCCUGGCCUGGAAGAAUCCAGUUAGGAUGUUUGUGAAGACUUGAGAGUUGCCAAGAAAAUGAAAAAGGAUGCAUUUGAAGGGAUUUCCAUGGGAGCCACACAGGAGCAAAGCAGAUAGCUUAUCUUCAGGCAGGAGGGAAACGGUGAGAAAGGAGAGCAGCCAUGUGGGCUGUAGGACCAUCCAGUAGAUGAAAGUGCAAUCUGUUGGCUCACUGAGGCACUAGCCUGUGUCAGAGCUGCUGAGCUUGUGAGAGGAGAGCAGAGGGGGCUGGAGGUCAGUCAGAGUCAGGGCAAGGGACGGCUGCUUAACCAGUCUGCAUGUAGAAGAGCAGUGGGAGUGGGGUUUCUCGUGACUGCUGUACACACAGCUGCUUUGGGGCAAGAAGACAGCCUUAAAAAUAAUCAUUUGCUACUUGGAGGGGUUUUUGUCAUCUGUUUUUUUGGUUUUUUUGUUUGGUUGUUUUUUUUUUUUUUUUGUUUUUUUUUUUGGUUUUUUUUUCAGAGCUGGGGACCGAACCCAGGGCCUUGCGCUUCCUAGGCAAGCGCUCUACCACUGAGCUAAAUCCCCAACCCCUUGUCAUCUGUUUUUAAACAAGAGUUUUUGUUAGAAAUUCUGCUGAAUUCUGCAUUUUGCCAAGUUUCAACACUUGAAUUUCCUGAUCUCUCUCCACUGGUGCCCAGACAUGAACCCCAAUAUCUGCUGAGCACUUUUGAAACUGGGGAGUAGGUACCUUCUCAAGCGCUUCAGCCUCCUGGCUGUACCCAGCUAGGUGGGAAGGAAAUCCUACUCUGGCUAGGGUAGGGAGUUCAGUAAGCUCCUGCAUUGGCAGGAGACCUCACUGUCACUUGAACUUGUCUUUCCUAGUGUGUGGGGUGUGCUCAGUUUAGCAGAGACUUGUAACCUCCUAAAGGCAAAAGUAUGCUUCUGAGGGGGGCGUAAGAAAACAGCAAUAGCCAGGACAUUUCCCACUUGACGCUAAAGAAACGCCUUUGUAAAAAGAAGUUUUCCCAAACAUGUAGUUGGCCGCUAUCUGCCAAGUAUGCUGUGGACAUUGUGUGUUCGUCUACUGGCUCCCGGCUGGCCACAGCAGAAUGUUGGGAUUCGUAUUGCGCCUGCCUACUUUGUGAGUGUAAGGGUUGCUGGCAUUAGACUCUGGCCAGGGGAUCCUCUCUUCCAGCAAGCAAACCUUAGACCUUUUCUCAGCAGAAUGUAGUUGCGUAACAUUAGAUUUGAAUUCUUAAUUAUUCCAGUUGGUAAAGGUAUUUGGAGAAAAGUGUUUGCUGCGUCCAGUGGCCUUUUCCUAACAGUGCUGUCAGAAAUGGUGAACCCUGACAAGAUGAAAAGUUCACUUUGUCCUUGCUGUGGUUAAAAGAACAUGCCCCGACCACUUUGAAAUGUUACUUCAAGGCGAAUGUAUCAUACCUGUCUUACUUUGCUUCUCUCUUGAUUUACCACAGUUUGUUCAGUUACGUUUUCAUGAAUUACCAGGAGUAAAUUUGAACAAACACAUGUGAAUAACUUCCUGUAAAUGUGUUUUAUAACAAGAGUGUGCUAAACUAUUUUCUAAAAUUACUUGUGCACUUUGGGGAUUUUUCUGUAGCUUGUGUUUUGUAUGCUCUGGAUUCAUAACUGGACUUUGGCAAAUAGUAAACCUGUUAUCUUUGUUAAAACCUAAAAUUUAAGAGAAAAUGGAGAAAUAAAAACAAACAGGAAAACUGG